RNAcentral lists this ribosomal RNA (116 nucleotides) under Pteropus alecto (black flying fox). Lineage: Eukaryota; Metazoa; Chordata; Mammalia; Chiroptera; Pteropodidae. The record is from RNAcentral.
GUCUACGGCCAUGCCACCUUGAACAAGCCCGAUGUCUGAUCUCGGAAGCUAAGCAGGGUUGGGCCUGGUUAGUAUUUGGAUGGGAGACCAUCUAAGGAGAACAGGUGCUGUAGGCA